GCCGGACUGGCUCAGUCGUACAGCAUGAGACUCUUGAUCUUGGGGUUGUGAGUUUGAGCCCCACGUUGGGUG
Molecule: transfer RNA, 72 nt
Filed under: Canis lupus familiaris (dog)
Lineage: Eukaryota; Metazoa; Chordata; Mammalia; Carnivora; Canidae
Also listed under: 1 other name
Rfam family: tRNA
About the family: Transfer RNA (tRNA) molecules are approximately 80 nucleotides in length. Their secondary structure includes four short double-helical elements and three loops (D, anti-codon, and T loops).
Source: Rfam by way of RNAcentral